Molecule: ribosomal RNA, 540 nt
Filed under: uncultured archaeon
Lineage: Archaea
Description: bacterial SSU rRNA
Rfam family: Bacterial small subunit ribosomal RNA
Source: RNAcentral
CAGCAGCCGCGGUAAUACGUAGGGGGCGAGCGUUAUCCGGAAUUAUUGGGCGUAAAGAGUGCGUAGGUGGUUUUGUAAGCGCGGGGUGAAAGGCUAUGGCUUAACCAUAGUAAGCCUCGCGAACUGUGAGACUUGAGUGCAGGAGAGGAAAGUGGAAUUCCUAGUGUAGCGGUGAAAUGCGUAGAUAUUAGGAGGAACACCAGUGGCGAAGGCGACUUUCUGGACUGUAACUGACACUGAGGCACGAAAGCGUGGGGAGCAAACAGGAUUAGAUACCCUGGUAGUCCACGCCGUAAACGAUGAGCACUAGGUGUCGGUGCCGCAAGGCUUCGGUGCCGCAGUUAACGCAUUAAGUGCUCCGCCUGGGGAGUACGUGCGCAAGCAUAAAACUCAAAGGAAUUGACGGGGACCCGCACAAGCAGCGGAGCAUGUGGUUUAAUUCGAAGCAACGCGAAGAACCUUACCAGGGCUUGACAUCCCUCUGACCGGUUGGUAACGCGACCUUCCCUUCGGGGCAGAGGAGACAGGUGGUGCAUGGCC